GAUGAAGAACGCAGCGAAAUGCGAUACGUAAUGUGAAUUGCAGAAUUCAGUGAAUCAUCGAAUCUUUGAACGCAUAUUGCGCUCUCUGGUAUUCCGGAGAGCAUGCUUGUUUGAGUAUCAGUAAACACCUCAACUUCCAUAUCUUUUUUGAUAUGGGAGUUGGACUUGAGUGAUCCCAACGCUUUUCCUCACCGAAAAGUGGCGGGUUACUUGAAAUGCAGGUGCAGCUGGACUUUUCUCUGAGCUAUAAGCAUAUCUAUUUAGUCUGCCUAAAAAACAGAUUAUUACCUUUGCUGCAGCUAACAUAAAGGAGAUUAGUUCUUGUGCUGACUGAUGCAGGAUUCACAAAGACGGCUUCGGCCGACUUUGUAAACUCGAUCUCAAAUCAAGUAAGACUACCCGCUGAACUUAAGCAUAUCAAUAAGCGGAGGA
This 432-nucleotide unclassified non-coding RNA is filed under the name soil metagenome. Its description in RNAcentral is "partial contains 5.8S ribosomal RNA, internal transcribed spacer 2, and large subunit ribosomal RNA". The stretch from base 1 to 120 matches the Rfam family "5.8S ribosomal RNA", at positions 35 to 154 of the family's 154-position model. The record is from RNAcentral.